AAGUCGUAACAAGGUUUCCGUAGGUGAACCUGCGGAAGGAUCAUUACAUUCAGUAGCCCAGCUACUUGUUUACACCCUUGUUUUUUUGCGUACCUAUCGUUUCCUCGGCGGGCUUGCCUGCCGGUUGGACAACUUUAUAACCUUUUUAAAUCUUCAAUCAGCGUCUGAACAAUAUACAAAUAAUUACAACUUUCAACAACGGAUCUCUUGGUUCUG
This 216-nucleotide unclassified non-coding RNA is filed under the name Phaeosphaeria podocarpi. RNAcentral's name for it is "partial internal transcribed spacer region". The stretch from base 1 to 46 matches the Rfam family "Eukaryotic small subunit ribosomal RNA", at positions 1786 to 1831 of the family's 1831-position model. Lineage: Eukaryota; Fungi; Ascomycota; Dothideomycetes; Pleosporales; Phaeosphaeriaceae. The record is from RNAcentral.